RNAcentral lists this ribosomal RNA (497 nucleotides) under uncultured bacterium. Its description in RNAcentral is "partial 16S ribosomal RNA". It matches the Rfam family "Bacterial small subunit ribosomal RNA", at positions 28 to 507 of the family's 1533-position model. The record is from RNAcentral.
GAUGAACGCUGGCGGCGUGCCUAAUACAUGCAAGUCGAGCGAACAGACGAGGAGCUUGCUCCUCUGACGUUAGCGGCGGACGGGUGAGUAGCACGUGGAUAACCUACCUAUAAGACUGGGAUAACUUCGGGAAACCGGAGCUAAUACCGGAUAAUAUAUUGAACCGCAUGGUUCAAUAGUGAAAGACGGUUUUGCUGUCACUUAUAGAUGGAUCCGCGCCGCAUUAGCUAGUUGGUAAGGUAACGGCUUACCAAGGCAACGAUGCGUAGCCGACCUGAGAGGGUGAUCGGCCACACGGGAACUGAGACACGGUCCAGACUCCUACGGGAGGCAGCAGUAGGGAAUCUUCCGCAAUGGGCGAAAGCCUGACGGAGCAACGCCGCGUGAGUGAUGAAGGUCUUCGGAUCGUAAAACUCUGUCAUUAGGGAAGAACAAAUGUGUAAGUAACUAUGCACGUCUUGACGGUACCUAAUCAGAAAGCCACGGCUAACUACGUG